Molecule: transfer RNA, 72 nt
Filed under: Fukomys damarensis (Damara mole-rat)
Lineage: Eukaryota; Metazoa; Chordata; Mammalia; Rodentia; Bathyergidae
Rfam family: tRNA
About the family: Transfer RNA (tRNA) molecules are approximately 80 nucleotides in length. Their secondary structure includes four short double-helical elements and three loops (D, anti-codon, and T loops).
Source: Rfam by way of RNAcentral
GGGGGUGUAGCUCGGAGCAAGAGCACUUGCCUGGCAUGCAUGAGGCUCUGGGUUUGAUUCCUAGCACUACAA